GUGUGUGUGUGUGUGUGUGUUUUAUAUGCUUGAUUGUUCGAUUACUUUAUUAUUAUUGUAUUUAUUUGUUUAUUUAUUUUUAAUUUUUUAUCUAUUUUUUUGUUUGUUUACUAAAGUCUGCCCACUAUAUUUUGCUUCCAAAGGUUACUCAUAGUUGUGUAUAUAAAAAAAAAAAGCGUCAGUAGUAUUGGUAGUUGUUUUAGUGUGAAGGUUGUUAGUAAAAGUAAAAGUAGAAUUGAUAAGAGUAGGGUUAGUAUUUGUUGAAGUAUUUUUAGGGUACGUGAUAGUAUAUGGAAAUGUCAGUAGUAGUAUCAAGAAGUAUUUAUAAGUAGUAGUAUAAGUAGUAUAGAUGUUAUCGCAUGUUUGAAGAUUAACUUUAAUUUUCACACCUCCUCUGCCUCCUUUUCACUUUUCCUUCCCUUUUUUCCUUCCCUAUUCUCCCCUUCUCAUUUUUCAUCUCUUGUUUUUUCUUUCUUCUCUUAACCUUCUUUCCUUUUCGCUUUUCCUUACCUCUUCCAUACUAACUGGUUUCCUUCUUGUCACUUUUCCUUCUUUCUUUCCAUUUCCUCAUUCCCUCUUUCCCCUUCUUCCCUUCUUCUCAUUUUCCUCCAUGUCUAUCCUCUUGUCAUCUUCUCUUCCUCUCUUAUCUUUUUCCCUUGUCACCUUCCUACCUCUCAUCUUGUCUCCUUUUUCUUUCCCUUUUCUUCUCACCUUCCUUCUCUCCUUUUCUCUUCUUCCCUUCUCACCAUCUUCCUUUCCUCGCUACUUCCUUCCUUUCCUCCCUCUAUACAGCGGGGGCACGCACUACUACUACUGCUGUUGGUGGCCGCGUCGGUGUUGAGGCCAGCAAGCCCCCGGCCGUUCUUCUUCGACAAAUACAUCUUCAAGGGAAAGAGCUUCGGAUUCGGCCACCCCUAUCCUGUCUACGUCCCUGUUCACGUGCCUAUCCACCACAAGCACGUCGUCCACUACGUUCACCACGGCAAGGGCACCAGCAGCUACUCCGAAGGGCACAGUAGUGGAGGAUAUGGUGGAGGAGGGUUUAGUGGAGGCGGUGGAUACGGCGGCGGCGGCGGCGGGGGAUACGGCGGCGGCGGAGGGGGAUACGGCGGCGGCGGCGGUGGUGGAUAUGGCGGGAUCAGCUUCGGAGGUACUGGAUUUGGCGGUGGGCAUGGAGGUGGUGGUCUGUAUGGUGGUGGUUAUGGAGGUCACAAAUAAAACAAAGAAAAAAUGCAGGAUUAUAAACAGAGGAAACUACGUUCCCAUAGACUCCGAGAGGCCGUGGAGUUUAUAGUUCCGUUGUUGCAGGUUACAAAUAAAAAAAUAUAGAAUAAGUGCAACAAAACAAAUGCCCUUAUUCUUGGCCGCUUCUCACUGUCAUGACAAAUACUUCCAAAGGUCAUAAAGAAGAUUUGUCGGGUCCUCAUGAGUGUGUAUCACGUUCAUGGUCCAGAAGCCUUGCCAAACUAUCACUAUGCUCAUGAAACUAUGCAUGGAAAUACUAACAACCUCUACCUAAGUCUUAUCAAAUCUUGGUGUGUAAGCCCCGAGUUUUUUUUUUAAUAUGGGCCACAAUGUACAUUCUUUCCUUUCCUCUUUCCCUUUCCUCUUCGAUACUAACUGGCUUCCUUCUUGUCAUUUUUCCUUCUUUCUUUCCUUUUCUUCAUUCCCUCUUUCCCCUCCUUCCCUUCUUCUCAUUUUCCUCCAUGUCUAUCUUCUUGUCACAUUCUCUUCCUUUCUCCUCUCCUACCAUUCUCUUAGUUAUUGUUAUAGUUGUUAGUGUGAGAUUGUAUAUACAUUGUUAAUACUGUGUCAUACAUGGGUUACCUGUCUAUUGCAUUAUAUUACUGUUAAGUACAACCGUUGUAAAAUACGUAGUUAUCUUCUGUUUGUUAAAGUUAACACCAGUGUUAGUUUGUUAGUUAGUUUGUUUGUUAGUUAGUUUGUUAUUCACUUAGUUAUUUGAUUAGUUAGUUUGUGUGUGUUUGUGUGUGUUAAUCUGCUGUUUGUUUAAGUUUGUAUCUGUGGAGUUAGUUAGUUAGUUAGUUAGUUAGUUAGUUGGUUAAUUAGAUAAGUGUGUGUGUGUGUGUGUGUGUGUGUGUGUCUCAUAUAACCGCUGCAUUUUGAUCACUGUUACCUGGUCAAAUAAAGGUGCCGUAUUUUU
Eriocheir sinensis (Chinese mitten crab) is the source of this 2164-nucleotide long non-coding RNA. RefSeq lists it as uncharacterized. The record is from RefSeq and is a predicted model, not a curated record. Lineage: Eukaryota; Metazoa; Arthropoda; Malacostraca; Decapoda; Varunidae. The transcript is spliced from 2 exons.